AUAGAUAAUUUGUUUAAGUUAAUAAAAUUAAUUUAAAUUUUUUAAGUGAAAUUUUAAAUUUAAUUAAUUUUAUAUGAAAAAGUUAAUGAAGCUAGAAAAUUUUAAUAAUAAACUAGGAUUAGAUACCCUAUUAUUUAAAAAGUAAAAUUCAAUACUUGAGUAGUAAUAGAUAUGAUCUUCAAACUUAAAGAAUUUGGCGGUGUUUUAGUCUAUUUAGAGGAACCUGUCCUGUAAUCGAUAAUCCACGUUGGACCUUACUAAAAUUUGUUGUCAAUUUGUAUAUCGCCGUUAUCAGAAUAUCUUAAAAGAGGAAUAAUUUUCUUAAUUUAUUAUUAUAAUUGAUGUCAGGUCAAGGUGCAGUUUAUAUUUUAGUAGAGAUGGGUUACAAUAAAUUUAUUUAAACGUUAAAUUAUUUGAAAUAAUGAUUUUAAGGUGGAUUUAAAAGUAAAAUAAUGGAUAUAAUUUAUUUGAUUAUAGCUCUAAAACAUGCACACAUCG
Molecule: ribosomal RNA, 498 nt
Filed under: Simulium malyschevi
Lineage: Eukaryota; Metazoa; Arthropoda; Insecta; Diptera; Simuliidae
Description: partial 12S ribosomal RNA
Source: RNAcentral